Molecule: ribosomal RNA, 206 nt
Filed under: uncultured bacterium
Lineage: Bacteria
Description: partial 16S ribosomal RNA
Rfam family: Bacterial small subunit ribosomal RNA
Source: RNAcentral
CGCGUAGGCGGCGUGACAAGUCACUUGUGAAAUCUCCGGGCUUAACUCGGAACGGUCAAGUGAUACUGUUGUGCUAGAGUGCAGAAGGGGCAAUCGGAAUUCUCGGCGUAGCGGUGAAAUGCGUAGAUAUCGAGAGGAACACCAGAGGCGAAGGCGGAUUGCUGGGCUGACACUGACGCUGAGGCGCGAAAGCUAGGUAGCAAACG